This 196-nucleotide ribosomal RNA is filed under the name uncultured eukaryote. Its description in RNAcentral is "partial 18S ribosomal RNA". It matches the Rfam family "Eukaryotic small subunit ribosomal RNA", at positions 1299 to 1458 of the family's 1831-position model. The record is from RNAcentral.
UGGUGGAGCGAUUUGUCUGGUUAAUUCCGAUAACGAACGAGACCAAAAUAUUUAAAUAGGUGGUACAGAUCUCAAAAAACUGAAACUAGGGGUGGGAGUGGCUUGCUGCUCUCUCCCAGAGAGGAUGUCGGGUAUCUAUAACCCUCUUCUUCGAUAGACAACUCGGAAAAACCAAGCGGAGGUUUUGGCAAUAACA